This 442-nucleotide ribosomal RNA is filed under the name uncultured bacterium. RNAcentral describes it as "bacterial SSU rRNA". It matches the Rfam family "Bacterial small subunit ribosomal RNA", at positions 34 to 518 of the family's 1533-position model. The record is from RNAcentral.
CGCUGGCGGCAGGCCUAAGUCAUGCAAGUUGAACGGCUGUAGCAAUACAGCAGUAGCGGACGGGUGAGUAAUGUAUGGGAACGUAUCUUCUAGUGGGGAAUAUUCUUUGGAAACGAAGAGCAAUACCGCAUGAGUCCUACGGGAGAAAGUCGCAAGACGCUAGAUGAGCGGCCCAUAUUGGAUUAGCUAGUUGGUUAGGUAAUGGCUGACCAAGGCAACGAUCCAUAGCUGGUCUAAGAGGACGAUCAGCCACAUUGGGACUGAGACACGGCCCAGACUCCUACGGGAGGCAGCAGUCAGGAAUAUUGGACAAUGGGGGCAACCCUGAUCCCAGCCAUGCCGCGUGAGUGUUAAGGUCUUCGGAUUGUAAAGCUCUUUUGUGUGGGAAAAUGAUGAUGGUACCACAAGAAUAAGCACCGGCUAACUUCGUGCCAGCCGCCGC